RNAcentral lists this ribosomal RNA (349 nucleotides) under uncultured bacterium. RNAcentral's name for it is "partial 16S ribosomal RNA". It matches the Rfam family "Bacterial small subunit ribosomal RNA", at positions 338 to 703 of the family's 1533-position model. The record is from RNAcentral.
CCUACGGGUGGCAGCAGUGGGGAAUAUUGCACAAUGGGGGAAACCCUGAUGCAGCGACGCCGCGUGAGUGAAGAAGGAUUUCGGGAGGUAAAGCUCUAUCAGCAGGGAAGAAGCAAGAGGGGACCGGACGAAGAAGCCCCGGCGAACUACGUGCCAGCAGCCGCGGUAAUACGGAGGGGGCAAGCGUGAUCCGGAUUUACGGGGGGUAAAGGGAGCGUAGACGGUCUUGAAAGUCUGAAGUGAAAGCCCAGGGCUUAACCCUGGGACUGCUUUGGAAACUGUUAGACUAGAGUGCUGGAGAGGUUAGUGGACUUCCUCUUGUAGCGGUGCAAUGCUUAGAUAUUAGGAG